Molecule: RNase P RNA, 357 nt
Filed under: bovine gut metagenome
Description: Bacterial RNase P class A
Rfam family: Bacterial RNase P class A
About the family: Ribonuclease P (RNase P) is a ubiquitous endoribonuclease, found in archaea, bacteria and eukarya as well as chloroplasts and mitochondria.
Source: RNAcentral
GAGAGCUGGACGGCCGCGGAGUCCUGAGAAAUCAGGGCGAUGAGGAAAGUCCGGGCUUCAUAGGGCGGGAUGCCGGCUAACAGCCGGGCGGGGAGACCCGACGGAUCAGUGCCACAGAAAAGAAGACUCCCUCAAAGCCUGGAUAGGCUGCGAGAGAAAAGCUGAAACGGUGCGGUAAGAGCGCACCAGCGUCAUGGCAACAUGGCGGCUUGGUAAACCCCAUCCGAAGCAAGGGCAAAUAGGAACGCAAUGGGCUGGCCCGGUUCGCGUUCGGGUUGCCUGCUCGAAACCGCUGGUAACGGUGGUUCUAGAUAAAUGGUCGUCUUAAAAGACAGAACCCGGCUUAUAGGCUCUCUU